CCUACGGGAGGCAGCAGUGAGGAAUAUUGGUCAAUGGGCGGAAGCCUGAACCAGCCAAGUAGCGUGCGGGAUGAAGGCCCUACGGGUCGUAAACCGCUUUUGCACGGGGAUAACACCCUCCACUUGUGGAGGUCUGCAGGUACCGUGCGAAUAAGGGCCGGCUAAUUCCGUGCCAGCAGCCGCGGUAAUACGGAAGGCCCGAGCGUUAUCCGGAUUCAUUGGGCUUAAAGGGGGCGUAGGCGGGCGUUCAAGUCAGCGGGAAAAUCUCGCGGCGCAACCGCGCCCCGCAGUUGAAACUGGACGCCUUGAGUGCACAACAGGUAGGCGGAAUUCGUGGUGUAGCAGUGAAAUGCAUAGAUAUCACGAGGAACCCCGAUUGCGAAGGCAGCCUGCCGGGGUGCGACUGACGCUGAGGCUCGAAGGUGCGGGUAUCAAACAGGAUUAGAUACCCUUGUAGUC
Molecule: ribosomal RNA, 459 nt
Filed under: uncultured bacterium
Lineage: Bacteria
Description: partial 16S ribosomal RNA
Rfam family: Bacterial small subunit ribosomal RNA
Source: RNAcentral